GAAAAUCCGUUGACUUUAAAAAUCGUGAGGGUUCAAGUCCC
This 41-nucleotide transfer RNA is filed under the name Grammosciadium pterocarpum. RNAcentral's name for it is "partial tRNA-Leu". RNAcentral also lists the same sequence under 1 other name. The record is from RNAcentral. Lineage: Eukaryota; Viridiplantae; Streptophyta; Magnoliopsida; Apiales; Apiaceae.